GUGUCAGCAGCCGCGGUAAGACGAGGGGUCCUAGCGUUGUUCGGAAUCACUGGGCGUAAAGCGUAUGUAGGCGGCUUUUCAAGUCAGGUGUGAAAUCCCAUGGCUUAACCAUGGAACUGCAUUUGAAACUGUAAAGCUUGAGUAUUGGAGAGGAUGGUAGAAUUCCUGGUGUAGUGGUGAAAUACGUAGAUAUCAGGAGGAAUACCGGUGGCGAAGGCGGCCAUCUGGCCAAAUACUGACGCUGAGAUACGAAAGUGUGGGGAUCAAACAGGAUUAGAUACCCUGGUAGUCC
RNAcentral lists this ribosomal RNA (292 nucleotides) under uncultured bacterium. RNAcentral describes it as "partial 16S ribosomal RNA". It matches the Rfam family "Bacterial small subunit ribosomal RNA", at positions 505 to 796 of the family's 1533-position model. The record is from RNAcentral.